CCUACGGGAGGCUGCAGUGAGGAAUAUUGGUCAAUGGCCGAGAGGCUGAACCAGCCAAGUCGCGUGAGGGAAGACGGCCCUACGGGUUGUAAACCUCUUUUGUCGGGGAGCAAAGCGAGUCACGUGUGACGCAUUGAGAGUACCCGAAGAAAAAGCAUCGGCAAACUCCGUGCCAGCGGCCGCGGUAAUACGGGGGAUGCGAUCGUUAUCCGGAUUGAUUGGGUUAAAGGGGUGCUCAGGCGGAAGUGCAAGUCAGCGGUCAUAUUGCGGGGCUAAACCCCGGACUGCCGUUGAAACUGCAUCCCUUGAGUGCGCGAGAAGUAUGCGGAAUGCGUGGUGUAGCGGUGAAAUGCAUAGAUAUCACGCAGAACUCCGAUUGCGAAGGCAGCAUACCGGCGCGCAACUGACGCUCAUGCACGAAAGCGUGGGUAUCGAACAGGAUUAGAUACCCGUGUAGUC
Molecule: ribosomal RNA, 459 nt
Filed under: uncultured bacterium
Lineage: Bacteria
Description: partial 16S ribosomal RNA
Rfam family: Bacterial small subunit ribosomal RNA
Source: RNAcentral